Molecule: long non-coding RNA, 2316 nt
Organism: Gallus gallus (chicken)
Lineage: Eukaryota; Metazoa; Chordata; Aves; Galliformes; Phasianidae
Source: Ensembl
CACUCCUGCUGGUCUUUGCAGGGUCAGAAGUACAUUGCAGGUGAGCACAGUCUCUGUGGCAGCUGGCAGCAAGGAGACGAGAUUGUUGUCUGCAAGGGUGUGGGGAGGUAGAGCUGACAUCCCUCAUCUUGGCCUCCUGGGAGGCUUUGUGGCAGCUGCUUCCCUGGAGCACUGGGAAGGACAGCAGUCGUGGCCCUGGCCCUGCCACUGUACCUACUGCAAGGGUGGUUGGAACUGCUAAAGGUCACUUUGGGCAGGCUUCUGUGCCACCAGCCCAGCGUGCACAAGGUGACAGAGAGAUCUGACCAGACAUCAAAGUGCUUGAUUAAAUAGAAGCUCUCCUGUUGCUUCCCAAGAUGGAUAUGGAGUAUGUGAUAAAUGGCCAAUAGCUUGCCUGACAUUGUCCAAAGGCUGUAAACACUAACUGAAUCCCCAUUCUCACCUGCUGCCGGUUACUGCUUCCUGCUCUCUCCUUGUCUUACUUUUUAAAGGUGUUUCUGCUGUCUUCAGGAGUUGCACAUAAUAAAACAGGAUGUCGUUUUGCAAACCAUUUUGGAACACCUUAAAUUUGAGCAUAUUACAGAGUCCUUUCACAAGAUCGGUAUUUGUGAAAAGAAAGCUUAUCAUCUGAAGACUUUGAUGCUAUAAUACGUUAUGUAACAAAUACCACAGUGUCAAAAUCUCCUUGUGCCUAUGAUGUGCUACUUAUUGCUCUCACCUGUAGCGCUCCAGUUCAUGAUGGCAGCAAAGGGGCAAUUUGACAAAAAGAUGUCUGAAGCGAAGGUGUGUCGCUGAAUUCCUCCAUGUAGAAGCAACUGCACUCAUUGAUGUUUAUUGAUGCUUGCUGAACGUUUAUGGAGACUUAACAGUGGAUGUGAGCACAGUGAGGAGGUGGGUGGUGCAUUUCAUCAGUGGUAACAGUGACAGUGGGUCACCUCCACUGCUACAGGUUGUUAUGAGUGCGUCAUGCAGGCUGUUGUUCAUCACUGGUGAAAAUGUAUAGUUUGUGGUGGUGACUGUGUUGAAAACUAGUCUUUUGUAGCUGAGAAUUUGCUCUAUCACCUACUGUUCUUGUGCUCUUUGUAUCUACUGUAGUUUCUGUGGAAAUGAAUUGGAGGCAUUGCUUUCAGAUCUACAUAGGUACAUCAUGAAAAUAAAUAGCUUGUUUAAAGAAUGAGUCUAUUCAUACUCUAGUGAGGGAGAAGUAACAGCCUGCACUUAUCUCUUAGUAAACACCACACAUGAGAUCCACAACAUAAGUCUCCCAUCCCAUGGAACUACUUGUUUAUGAAUGCUAUUUAGAGGCAUCUGUCUUUUAUGUGAUAAUCUUUUUUUUUAUUAGCAUAUACAACUUUAAUAUUUAGCAAACCCAUCUUGCAUAACAUUCUAUGAUUUACUGAAAUGAUAUGCAGACUGCAGAAUCGGCAGUGCUGAUAAAAGUGACUGCUCCCAUCUAAUGGUAAAUGGAAGAACAACAGGAAAAUAAUAAUAAUAAUAAAAAAUUCUGCUUUACAGCAGUAACUGUAGGCACAUUGAAAGUUAUAUUCCCAGAUCCAGAGGGUUCAAAAUAGAACCUAAAUAAGAUAGCAAGUAGGAGGAUAAGAGGAUGGUAAUAUUAACAAGUUAUUUUAAAUAUAUAUUUUUAACUUGCUUUUAAUGUUGUAACAGUAGAUGUUAAAAUAAAUAUUGUCUUUUUAUCCAGUUCUUAUUACAACUUGUGUGUGGAUGAAACUUUGAUCUUGUGGACGUGAGGAUAUGUAUGAUAUAUAUAUAUAUAUAUAUAUAUAUAUAUGUUAUAUGUAUGUAUAUACAUGAUAUAUAUGUAUGAUAUAUGUAUUCUAUUCAAAUGAUAGCACAUGACAGAUUAAACCUUUAGGUGGAAUAAGGAUAGAUAGAAACAUUUCUGAACAAAGUACUUCAUAGGAGAGAUGCAGAAGAGGAUGUAUGUAUGGCACAGUAUAAUUAGGUUUGGAAAUUAUUCAGUUAUCGUGGUGAUAUGAAAUUAGAGGCUUCAUGGAAUCAUUUAGGUGGGAAAAGACUCUUAAAAUCAUCAAAUCCAAGCAUUGCUAGAAUUGUAACAUGUUGGAUAUAUACAAGUUCAGUAACACACAUCAUGAUUAUAUAAUGAAUGUUAUUAAACAUCUACUCACAAAAUUAUUCCAUUAAAAUCAAUUAAAUAUUCUCAGUAGCUAUGUAUUUGUGUACUGGAGGAGCAAGACCUGCAGUAUAAGACAUCAUUAAAGGACAAUAUUCCUUUUCUGUAGCCAUUGCCAAUGUAACCACAGCUAUUGCUGUGUGACCUGAUGAGAAAGAAAC